Molecule: unclassified non-coding RNA, 1181 nt
Filed under: Hevea brasiliensis (rubber tree)
Lineage: Eukaryota; Viridiplantae; Streptophyta; Magnoliopsida; Malpighiales; Euphorbiaceae
Source: RNAcentral
GUCAAGUUAAAAGAAAGCCAACUGGAAUUUUCGUUUUCACUCUUGAAAACAUAGAUGACAAAGAAAAAAUUUAUGAGGAGGGUCCUUGGGCAAUGGAUAACAAUCUCAUAAUUUUGGAAAAAUGGCCGCCUGAUAAGCCGAUAAAUGAAGUUGAUUUCUCUACAAUAGAAUUUUGGGUGUAAUUACAUGGCCUGCCUCCGAGCUUCUGGAAUCAAGAGAGAGUCACACGUAUUGCUAAACUUUUUGCUGGGCUUACAGAUUGGGAUAAUGGAGUAAGGGAUAGUGAAGUUUUGAAUACUUUUCUAAGAAUCAAGGUUCGGGUGGAGAUUUCUAAGCCUUUACUAACAGGGUUUUUCAUCACUAAGGAGAAAAGGAAAAAUGAAUGGGUAAAAUUCAAGUAUGAGAAUAUGCCUAUUUUUUGUUUCUAUUGUGGAAUCAUUGGACAUGUCAUUAGGAGCUAUGAAGCUAGCAAGAGAAUAGCCAACCAAUCUUUAAAUGCAAGUUCUUUCAGGUAUGAUAUGCGGUUAGUAGCAAAAAAUUCCAGAUCUUUUUUUACUCCAUCAUAUCAUUCAGAAAACCCCCUUCUGUCUCACCCAGUUCUUAAACUUCUACCAUCGAAUGUCUCCACAGAACCCUCAUUUCCCCCCUUCAACAGUGACAAUCCAAACAACCUUUAGGUGGAGGUGGCGCGUUUCCCUCAAUCGCCCUUUUCGCCCAGAUCCUUUACCCUUUACCAAAAAGCCUUACUGCAUUAAUUGCAAAGAUUUAACUCACCAACCAAAUCUCCUGCAAACUGCUAAAGCUAACCUUGCUCCUUUUUCUUAUCCUUUUUCCAAGGAAAACUCAAGAAAAGGUAAAGAGCCCUUUUGCUUGCUAGAUGUAUCAAACAUUUCUUCUAAUAAGCAUCCUCCUGUAGCUUUUCUAUCUACCUCCACUGAUGUUUCAAUCACCAGCAUUAAUGAACCUUUCUUCUUGCAUGAAAAAACGUCUUCUCAAUCCUCUGAUCCUCUUGUACCCUGUGUUAACAAUCUGAAAAAAAGGAUCCCCCUUUAAAUCGAGCUCUUUUACAGCUCCUGCUUCACAAAGUGGAUAGGUGUAACACCCCUUAUCCGAUCUACAACAUAGUCAAGCAAGGAAUGCUACAUUUUGUGUUGAAGCACUUUAUCUUAUCUCAUUUUAUA